Molecule: ribosomal RNA, 252 nt
Filed under: uncultured bacterium
Lineage: Bacteria
Description: partial 16S ribosomal RNA
Rfam family: Bacterial small subunit ribosomal RNA
Source: RNAcentral
UACGUAGGUCCCGAGCGUUGUCCGGAUUUAUUGGGCGUAAAGCGAGCGCAGGUGGUUUAUUAAGUCUGGUGUAAAAGGCAGUGGCUCAACCAUUGUAUGCAUUGGAAACUGGUAGACUUGAGUGCAGGAGAGGAGAGUGGAAUUCCAUGUGUAGCGGUGAAAUGCGUAGAUAUAUGGAGGAACACCGGUGGCGAAAGCGGCUCUCUGGCCUGUAACUGACACUGAGGCUCGAAAGCGUGGGGGGCAAACAGG